GACGAACCGUGCAAACGUUAUUCGGAAUCACUGGGCUUAAAGGGCGCGUAGGCGGGCUGUCAGGUCCGGGGUGAAAGCCUCCAGCUUAACUGGAGAAGUGCCUUGGAUACCGGCAGCCUCGAGGGAGGUAGGGGCGUGCGGAACUUCGGGUGGAGCGGUGAAAUGCGUAGAUAUCCGAAGGAACACCGGUGGCGAAAGCGGCGCGCUGGAUCUCUUCUGACGCUGAGGCGCGAAAGCCAGGGGAGCAAACGGG
RNAcentral lists this ribosomal RNA (253 nucleotides) under uncultured bacterium. RNAcentral describes it as "partial 16S ribosomal RNA". It matches the Rfam family "Bacterial small subunit ribosomal RNA", at positions 524 to 776 of the family's 1533-position model. The record is from RNAcentral.